UACGGAGGGUGCAAGCGUUGUCCGGAUUUAUUGGGUUUAAAGGGUGCGUAGGCGGCUUGAUAAGUCCGUGGUGAAAGCCAACAGCUCAACUGUUGAACUGCCAUGGAUACUGUCAGGCUUGAGUACAGACGAGGUAGGCGGAAUGGAUCGUGUAGCGGUGAAAUGCAUAGAUACGAUCCAGAACUCCGAUUGCGAAGGCAGCUUACUAGGCUGUAACUGACGCUGAGGCACGAAAGCGUGGGGAGCGAACAG
Molecule: ribosomal RNA, 252 nt
Filed under: uncultured prokaryote
Description: partial 16S ribosomal RNA
Rfam family: Bacterial small subunit ribosomal RNA
Source: RNAcentral